AAUAGAUACCCGGGUAGUCCACGCCGUAAACGAUGGAUGCUAGCUGUUAGGAGUAUCGACCCUUCUAGUAGCGAAGCUAACGCGUUAAGCAUCCCGCCUGGGGAGUACGAACGCAAGUUUAAAACUCAAAGGAAUUGACGGGGACCCGCACAAGUGGUGGAGCGUGUUCUUUAAUUCGAAGCUAAGCGAAGAACCUUACCAGGGCUUGACAUCCUUGGAAUCUUUCCGAAAGGAGAGAGUACUUUAUUGGACCAAGUGACAGGUGUUGCAUGGCCGUCGUCAGCUCGUGUCGUGAGAUGUUUGGUUAAGUCCAUUAACGAGCGCAACCCUUAUGAUUAGUUGAAUUUUUCUAAUCAGACUGCCUCGGUAACGGGGAGGAAGGAGGGGAUGAUGUCAGGUCAUUAUUACCCUUACGUCCUGGGCUAGAAACGCGCUACAAUGGCCGGUACAAAGGGCAGCCAACCCGCGGAGGGGGAGCAAAUCCCAUCAAAACCCGGUCCCAGUUCGGAUUGCAGGCUGAAACUCGCCUGCAUGAAGCCGGAAUCACUAGUAAUCGUAGGUC
Molecule: ribosomal RNA, 562 nt
Filed under: uncultured bacterium
Lineage: Bacteria
Description: bacterial SSU rRNA
Rfam family: Bacterial small subunit ribosomal RNA
Source: RNAcentral